This 433-nucleotide ribosomal RNA is filed under the name uncultured bacterium. RNAcentral describes it as "partial 16S ribosomal RNA". It matches the Rfam family "Bacterial small subunit ribosomal RNA", at positions 29 to 507 of the family's 1533-position model. The record is from RNAcentral.
AACGAACGCUGGCGGCAUGCCUAACACAUGCAAGUCGAACGAGACCUUCGGGUCUAGUGGCGCACGGGUGCGUAACGCGUGGGAACCUGCCCUUAGGUUCGGAAUAACUCCCCGAAAGGGGUGCUAAUACCGGAUAAUGUCUUCGGACCAAAGAUUUAUCGCCUUUGGAUGGGCCCGCGUUGGAUUAGCUAGUUGGUAGGGUAAAAGCCUACCAAGGCGACGAUCCAUAGCUGGCCUGAGAGGAUGAUCAGCCACACUGGGACUGAGACACGGCCCAGACUCCUACGGGAGGCAGCAGUGGGGAAUAUUGGACAAGGGGCGAAAGCCUGAUCCAGCAAUGCCGCGUGAGUGAUGAAGGCCUUAGGGUUGUAAAGCUCUUUUACCCGGGAUGAUAAUGACAGUACCGGGAGAAUAAGCUCCGGCUAACUCCGUG